CCGCGCCCCCCGGCGGGCGGAGCCCGGCGCCGCGGCCAGGAUUUCCCACCUCGCUCCCGCGACUCCGCUGCGGGGGUACUUAACCGAAACUAGCAAUCCCAGGCGGUACAAGGCCCUCCAUCGUAGGCAAAGCACUACCUGAAUGUAGAUUUGGGCCAUACGUUGGAAAAUAAGACAUGAGAGUAUGCUCCGAUCAACUUUUACUGUUCACUGGACAACUAUUUUGGGAAUUUGCAGACCUAUAAAGCCCAUCUAUAAAUCUCAAGCAUGUCCACUUUCAGAGAAGAGAAAUGCUGACAACCAUUUAGUCUCUGAGGACAACACUUUUAAAGUGUAACAAUGUGGCAUCCAGAGCUUAUCCAGAUGAGCGGAGAGCAAAUGAAUUUCCUUCUGCUCCCCUGUUGAAGAGGAGAGAAAAAUUCUUCAAGCUCACCUGUUCUUCUCAUCGCUGGACCUAUAAAGUGGCAUUAAUCAUCAAGAGUCCAGCAGAAUUGGGAAAGUCAUGUAUGCUGCAAAGUACAUUCCAAAGUCUUAAAAUAUUCUUGUCUUAUCCACUGUUGUUUAUUUGUUUACUUAUUUUUAAACAAACAUCUGUUUGAAAGAGGGAGUGCUAACUGUGUGUUCUGGUAUCCCUUACCUGAAAAAUGCCUUCCUCUGUGGGUCUCAGUGAAUCCCACUCAGGAGAAUCCAGGAACUGAAGGGGGAAAAUGUAAUGCAGAAAUUCGCCAUCAACUGUCACUCUGAUCCUAUCAAAACACAAGAACAACAUUUAUAAGGGAAGGAGAAAGAGAGCACAUAAUUGGGGAGGGGUGGGGGGUAGAGGAAGUGUAUUUCAGAUCCCUGAUGACUCUUGCCCUUUAUGAUUUUGAAAGGCAAAAUAUUAAAUUCAUACAUUAUAAUAAGUGACAUAAUGUCCUGUAAGAUUCAUGUUAUCAUGUUCCUUAUACAGUCAGGAUUCUGGAAUAUUGAGUGAAAUUCAUCAGAAAAUUCAUCAAGUUGUACAUUUAUAUAUGUCCAUUUAUGUGUGCAUAUUAUACUUCAAUAAAACAUUUUAAUGGA
This 1059-nucleotide long non-coding RNA is filed under the name Homo sapiens (human). RNAcentral describes it as "POPDC1 antisense RNA 1". Lineage: Eukaryota; Metazoa; Chordata; Mammalia; Primates; Hominidae. The record is from RNAcentral.